GAUGAACGCUGGCGGCGUGCUUGACACAUGCAAGUCGAACGGAAAGGCUCCUGCUUGCAGGGGUACUCGAGUGGCGAACGGGUGAGUAACACGUGGGUGAUCUGCCCUGCACUUCGGGAUAAGCCUGGGAAACUGGGUCUAAUACCGGAUAGGACCACAUUUUGGAUGGUGUGGUGGAAAGUUUUUCGGUGUGGGAUGAGCUCGCGGCCUAUCAGCUUGUUGGUGGGGUAAUGGCCUACCAAGGCGUCGACGGGUAGCCGGCCUGAGAGGGUGUACGGCCACAUUGGGACUGAGAUACGGCCCAGACUCCUACGGGAGGCAGCAGUGGGGAAUAUUGCACAAUGGGCGCAAGCCUGAUGCAGCGACGCCGCGUGGGGGAUGACGGCCUUCGGGUUGUAAACUCCUUUCGCUAGGGACGAAGCGCAAGUGACGGUACCUGGAGAAGAAGCACCGGCUAACUACGUG
Molecule: ribosomal RNA, 465 nt
Filed under: uncultured bacterium
Lineage: Bacteria
Description: partial 16S ribosomal RNA
Rfam family: Bacterial small subunit ribosomal RNA
Source: RNAcentral